GCCCCUAUGGCUUAGUGGUACAGCAUCGCACUUGUAAUGCGAAGAUCCUUGGUUCGAUUUUUUUGAUGUUUGGUGCU
Schizosaccharomyces japonicus yFS275 is the source of this 77-nucleotide non-coding RNA. Lineage: Eukaryota; Fungi; Ascomycota; Schizosaccharomycetes; Schizosaccharomycetales; Schizosaccharomycetaceae. The record is from the annotation of a RefSeq genome assembly.